UAGUAGAGAGAGAGAGAGGUCAUCGCUGCCGUCUACCUCCGUUCCCGUCGGCGUCCGGUGUCGUCGCCAUGUCCAGGAGCUCGGGGAGGCUCCCAGCGCCCCAUUCCCACCAGCGUUGAGGACGAGGGGCGACCACAGCGACGGCCAGCAGCGCGUCAUCGCCUCGGCCCCGGAGCUCCCAUCGUCUUCCUCUACCCCGUCAGCAGCAGGGAACCGUCGGCGUCUUCUUCCCCUACGGCUACUCCUUCGAGCGGGUGGCCUC
RNAcentral lists this long non-coding RNA (262 nucleotides) under Hordeum vulgare. Its description in RNAcentral is "long non-coding RNA (HVUL_LNC000786)". Lineage: Eukaryota; Viridiplantae; Streptophyta; Magnoliopsida; Poales; Poaceae. The record is from RNAcentral.